This 493-nucleotide ribosomal RNA is filed under the name uncultured bacterium. RNAcentral describes it as "partial 16S ribosomal RNA". It matches the Rfam family "Bacterial small subunit ribosomal RNA", at positions 30 to 523 of the family's 1533-position model. The record is from RNAcentral.
AUUGAACGCUGGCGGCAUGCCUUACACAUGCAAGUCGAACGGUAACAGGUUAAGCUGACGAGUGGCGAACGGGUGAGUAAUAUAUCGGAACGUGCCCAGUCGUGGGGGAUAACGUAGCGAAAGCUACGCUAAUACCGCAUACGAUCUACGGAUGAAAGCGGGGGAUCGCAAGACCUCGCGCGACUGGAGCGGCCGAUAUCGGAUUAGGUUGUUGGUGAGGUAAAAGCUCACCAAGCCUGCGAUCUGUAGCUGGUCUGAGAGGACGACCAGCCACACUGGAACUGAGACACGGUCCAGACUCCUACGGGAGGCAGCAGUGGGGAAUUUUGGACAAUGGACGCAAGUCUGAUCCAGCAAUGCCGCGUGCAGGACGAAGGCCUUCGGGUUGUAAACUGCUUUUGUACGGAACGAAACGGUGAGCUCUAAUACAGUUUGCUAAUGACGGUACCGUAAGAAUAAGCACCGGCUAACUACGUGCCAGCCGCCGCAGUAA